GUGGCCCUGGCUGGUCCCUCCACGGCACUCUGGGUCCUCUCCUCCCUCUCCAGAGACCCUCACGUGUCCCUUUGAGCAUCCAAAGAGCAGGUCCCUGAAGGCACCUUCCUGGAGGCUGUACGGAGGGCCCUGGACGUGGCCCAGCCCCACUGCUGGGGCUCAAACUCACCUUGAGUCCCCACAGCCCCGUGUGCCCUACCCUGCGGAAGGCGUGUUUGUGCCAAGAGAGGCCGGGCCACUGCAGAACCCCGCUGUGUAAAGAGGCAGAAAAGUUGGUUUGGUUCGCAGUGAGUAACGCUGCAACUAGAAAACAUGCACUUCAGGCUUGUUUAAACCACCAAGACUCUGUGACGUUAAUUUGGGUCUUUGUCCUGGCAGUGCUCCUGCCAGUCACUGUCAUCAUUGUGUCCCCCACAAGUGUCCUCUUGCUAGCUCUACCCAGCUUUGUUUCUGGAGCCCGACGCCACCCCCUCAGGCAGAGGAUGCGUCCCGGGCCAGAGUCAGGGAGUAGCUGCUGCUUCACAGCGUUUGCACCGUUUCCACCGUGCGAUUGACCCGGAUCCCCAAAGACUCAGAAGGAGCUGCUCAGGACUGACUGAAGACUCUGGACUCAUUGCUGAUUGGAACGCCAGGAGGAGGGUGGAUUUCUGCCAGUGGGGGAUAUUUCUGGAGGCAGCUGGUCCCCGACACCGCAUCCUGCUGAGCCUGCCCCUGGAUUGGCUGUACUUUGCCUCGAAGUUCAGCAGUUCAUCUUCAUGGGAAUUUGCUGAGCCCCUACCAGGGAACCGGAUGAUGAAACAGGGAUACCUCACAGCGCUGCCAUUUGCUGCACAGGCAGCUUCCCGGGCCGACGCUAGAGAAGACAGACUUUCCCUUCCUCCCAGCGCCAGCAGUGCAGAGCCCACCUGGAAGCGUGUCGGGGGUGUGCAGGGGGCAGCGCUCAGGCGGAUCUUGGGAAGUGGCCUCUAGAUGCUGAGUGGAAGGACCUACUGAGCACAGCAAGGCACCAAAGCCCCUGGAGAAAUCGCCAGAGCGAGAUGCGGCCAUCGUCAGGGUCAAAGCAGAUGGGGCGUGGGUGGGGAAGGGGCUCUGGGACCAGACCCCCACACCUCUGUGGUCAUCAGUCUGUAGAAGCAGAUGGUGGUGGAAAUUCCAGCAGGUGGGUCUGGCAGAGGCCCUGAGGCCUCACUUUUCGGAUCUUCUCUCCCACAUCCUGCUCCCUCCCAGCUGAGCCUGGGUUCCCUGGCGUUGGCCCCAGCCUUCUGAAAGCUGCUGCUGCAGCCAGAGGCCGCACACUGCACUGUCACCACGCAGCUGUGCAGGCUGGGAUCGGGCCCCACCUCUGUGCUGUCUAGUUUGUGUUCAGAAUGUCAGAAUAAACACAGAAUAAACAUUCCCA
RNAcentral lists this long non-coding RNA (1399 nucleotides) under Piliocolobus tephrosceles (Ugandan red Colobus). Its description in RNAcentral is "lncRNA (ENSPTEG00000003883.1)". Lineage: Eukaryota; Metazoa; Chordata; Mammalia; Primates; Cercopithecidae. The record is from RNAcentral.